Stegodyphus mimosarum is the source of this 73-nucleotide non-coding RNA. The record is from Rfam. Lineage: Eukaryota; Metazoa; Arthropoda; Arachnida; Araneae; Eresidae.
GCCUUCGUGGUGCAAUGGUCAACACACUCGACGCGUAUUCCAGAGGUCCGAGGUUCGAAUCCCGGCGAGGGCA